AGUCAUAUGCUUGUGUUAAAGAUUAAGCCAUGCAUGCCUAAGUAUAAACUGUACUAACGGUAAAACUGCGGACGGCUCCAUAGAUCAGUAAUUGUUCGUUCGGUGAACAAAGUACUUGGAUAACCCUGUUAAUUGUAGAGCUAAUACAUGCACCGACGACCUAAUAGCGUGAGCUAGAGGGUUGCACUUGUCCUAACUUACAAGCCGAUGGACUUUAGGACCGGCUGACGUGACCGGGGAGGAACUAUAAUGGGACCUCGAGAAAAGGAUCACAAAUAUAAAGCUUAGGAGGUAGCAAAAAGCCAACACGGCAAUGACCUAAGUGGAAAUUUGUGGGCUGGAUAUGAUUAACUUUAGGCAACUGAAGGGUAUUAUUGAAGGUAAAUAAACCUCGGGAUAUCCGGUUAUAGAACCGUCGAUCCGGCGUGGUUACGGAUUUAAUUUAACCUAGGUGAAAGGGGUGAAACAGGACAAUUCAAAGCCGAUCGCCACAAUGUGGCGACACGCCAUUCGAAUUUCUGACCUAUCAACUUGAUGGUAAGGUAUUGGCUUACCAUGGUAAUAACGGGUAACGGGGAAUUAGGGCUCGAUUCCGGAGAGGGAGCCUGAGAAACGGCUACCACUUCCAAGGAAGGCAGCAGGCGCGUAAAUUACUCCCUGCCGACACGGCGAGGUAGUGACGACAAAUACCAAGGGCNNNNNNNNNNNNNNNNNNNNNNNNNNNNNNNNNNNNNNNNNNNNNNNNNNNNNNNNNNNNNNNNNNNNNNNNNNNNNNNNNNNNNNNNNNNNNNNNNNNGCGGUAAUUCCAGCUCCAAAAGUGUAUACUAAAGCUGUUGCGGUUAAAACGCUCGUAGUUGAAUUCCAACAUCCGGAAACAAGGCGAUUAAGAAAAGGGACCUUUAGUUAAUUAUAUUAAUUAUGAAAGUAAUUAAUAUAAACUUAAAGAAACCCACUUGACGCACCGGAGAAGUUUGAAACCCAAUAAUAUUCCGAAAUUCCGCAAAUGUUCUUUAUUGAAUAAUUUGUAACAUAGAAACCCUGACUAACAAGGAAGGGGGGAAUUCGGAGACUUUGUUUACCUUGAAUAAACUAGAGUGAUUCAAGCAGGCGUUUCGCCGUUGAAUACAUUAGCAUGGGAUAAACAAUUAAAAAAAGUCGGGGUCACAUCGAAACUACAUUUGGAUAAGUACUAUAAGAGGAGUAUUCAAGUGGUAUUCUUACUUGAACACAUAAAGAGAAGUUGAUAGUUCCAAUGGUUAGCUUGGCUAUCCAGUGAGGACACAGUUCUUAAUAAAUGUGAUAAGUUUACUUAUUCAUUAAUUGAGAGUGUCCAUUGCCGCAAGGUGAUAUAUUGAUUUCUGUGUCAAGAGGAAUAAUAACUAAAUACUGAUAAAGACUCUUUAAGGAAACGAAGAAUGCAAGCCGGUCGUUUUAUCUCCGAUCGUCUGUGACUAUUAAUGAGUAAUGUUAAUUAACAUGAAAAGGUUAAUAAGCAUAGGCGUUAUUCUCAAAUAGGGACAGCCGGGGUGGUUCAUACUUCCUUGUUAGGGGUGAAAUCCUAUGAUUAAGGAAAGAUGAACUAGUGCGAAAGCAUUCCACAAGGAUGUUUUCAUUGAUCAAGAACGAAAGUUGGGGGAUCGAAGACGAUCAGAUACCGUCGUAGUCUCAACCAUAAACGAUGCCGACCAGAGAUCGGAGGACGCUUUCCGAAAGGAAAAGCGGCUCCCCCGGCACCUUUGAGAGAAAUCAAAAGUGUCUAGGCUUCGGGGGGAGUACGGUCGCAAGGCUGAAACUUAAAGGAAUUGACGGAAGGGCACAACCAGGAGUGGAGCCUGCGGCUUAAUUUGACUCAACACGGGAAAACUUACCAGGACCAGACAGUGGAAGGAUUGACAGAUUGAGAGCUCUUUCUAGAUUCGCUGGGUGGUGGUGCAUGGCCGUUCUUAGUUCGUGAUGUAAAUUGUCAGUGUCAAUUCCGUUAACGGACGAGACCUUAACCUGCUAAAUAAUGUUGGGCAGAGGAAUUAUAUGAAUGAAGUUAGUAGCAAUAUUAAUGGAAAGCAUAUAAACUCUAGUAAAAAAUCAUCCCCUCGACAAUUAUGAAACUUGUUUAAAUUUUCGAGUAAAAUUGAAAGUUUGAAUAAGAUAGUAAAAGCAAGGAUGACCCAACUUCUUAGAGGGACUAGUUGCUCCCUAGCGACUGGAAGUUUGAGGCAAUAACAGGUCUGUGAUGCCCUUCGAUGCCCUGGGCCGCACGCGCGCUACACUGAUUGGGAGAAUGAGUUUGAGUGCGCCUCUUGAGCCGCUUGUUAAUCUUAACGGGUUAAUAAGAGGAUUAAGGGGGAAAGCACCUACCCUGGGUCGAAAGACUUCUUGGGAAAUCUGAGAAAACCCAAUCGUGAUUGGGAUAGACCUUUGUAAUUAUUGGUCUUGAACGAGGAAUUCCUCGUAAGCGCGGGUCAUCAGCUCGCGUUGAUUACGUCCCUGCCCUUUGUACACACCGCCCGUCGCUCCUACCGAUUGGAUGAUCCGGUGAAGAUAACGGAUGUGAAUGGCAUCACAUUAAACGAAAGUUUAAUAAUGUCAACCAGAAGUUAUCUAAACCUUAUUAUCUAGAGGAAGGAGAAGUCGUAACAAGGUUUCC
This 2644-nucleotide ribosomal RNA is filed under the name Mastigamoeba sp. IC-2012f. RNAcentral's name for it is "partial small subunit ribosomal RNA". It matches the Rfam family "Eukaryotic small subunit ribosomal RNA". The record is from RNAcentral. Lineage: Eukaryota; Evosea; Mastigamoebida; Mastigamoebidae.